UUCAUUGUAAAUUCCCACUUGUUCUUUUCUUUUUUGCUUGUGUAUUUGCCUAAUUUUAAUUACUCUUGUUUAUUUUGAAGGAUUAGAAUUGCAAUCAGUGUAUCCUGCUUGGGAAUCGGAAAAUUGCAGAGGAGCAAGUGCCACGGCUGGAGCUCAUAGUCAUAGGCAAAGUUACUUGGUUGAUUUGUUGUAUCAAUUUGUCAAAAAGGGCACAUUGGGUGUUGGUUGUGAUUAAUGCCACUACAGGGACCUUAUUUUACUUGGAUCCUAUACAUGGUAGUUUGAAUCAACGCAAAGUCAUGAAAGAGAUGUUUGAUAAUGCAAUGAUGAUCUACCGUGCUAAUUGCAAUGACAAGAGGAUUACAUGGUCCAAAGCCAAAUGGAAUACUAUAAAGGUAUACAUAUUUACAUAACUGAAAACAAUUAGAUCUACCAAAUCACUGAUAUAUAUUAUAUUUGUUUUUUGUAGUGCCCUGC
This is a long non-coding RNA of Lotus japonicus, 477 nucleotides long. RefSeq lists it as uncharacterized. The record is from RefSeq and is a predicted model, not a curated record. The transcript has 3 exons. NCBI's taxonomy places the organism in Eukaryota, Viridiplantae, Streptophyta, Magnoliopsida, Fabales, Fabaceae.